CCCUUAGAUGUCCUGGGCCGCACGCGCGUUACACUGAUGCAUUCAACGAGCUUAUAACCUUGGCCAAGAGGCCUGGGCAAUCUUGUUAACGUGCAUCGUGAUAGGGAUAGAUUAUUGAAAUUAUUAAUCUUGAACGAGGAAUUCCUAGUAAACGCAGAUCAUCAAUCUGCAUUGAUUACGUCCCUGCCCUUUGUACACACCGCCCGUCGCACCUACCGAUUGGAUGGUCCGGUGAAGCCUCGGGAUUGUGGUUCUUGCCGCUUUAUUGUGGCGUGACCGCGAGAACUUGUCUAAACCUUAUCAUCUAGAGGAAGGUGAAGUCGUAACA
Molecule: ribosomal RNA, 328 nt
Filed under: uncultured eukaryote
Lineage: Eukaryota
Description: partial 18S ribosomal RNA
Rfam family: Eukaryotic small subunit ribosomal RNA
Source: RNAcentral